CCGGUAUUCAAUGAAGAGAGAUGCUACGUUACUAGACUCAACAUGAUUAUGCAGACGACUCCGGAUCUGAGCCCUAGGACCAUGCCUCAGGACUACCUGGCCUGAUGACUCCUUGCUGUCCCCAGUCCACCUGGCCGUGCUGCUGCUCCAGUUUCAACUGUUCUGCCUGCGGCUAUGGAACCCUGACCUGUUCACCGGACGGCUAUGAAAAGCCAACUGACAUUUACUCCUGAGGUGCUUACGUGUUGCACCCUCGACAACCACUGAUUAUUAAUUUGUCCAUGCUGGUCAUCUAUGAACUUUUGAUCAUCUUGACCAUGUUCUGUUAUAAUCUCCACCCGGCACAGCCAGAAGAGGACUGGCCAAUCCUCAUAGCCUGGAUCCUCUAGGUUUCUUCCUCAGUUCUGGCCUUUCUAAGGAGUUUUUCCUAGCCACCGUGCUUCUACACCUGCAUUGCUUGGGGUUUUAGGCUGGGUUUCUGUACAGCACUCGAGAUAUCAGCUGAUGUAAGGGCUUUAUAAAUAAAUUUGAUU
This 533-nucleotide long non-coding RNA is filed under the name Salmo salar (Atlantic salmon). RNAcentral describes it as "lncRNA (ENSSSAG00000110997.1, ENSSSAG00000114313.1)". Lineage: Eukaryota; Metazoa; Chordata; Actinopteri; Salmoniformes; Salmonidae. The record is from RNAcentral.